This 253-nucleotide ribosomal RNA is filed under the name uncultured bacterium. RNAcentral's name for it is "partial 16S ribosomal RNA". It matches the Rfam family "Bacterial small subunit ribosomal RNA", at positions 524 to 776 of the family's 1533-position model. The record is from RNAcentral.
UACGAAGGGGGCUAGCGUUGCUCGGAAUUACUGGGCGUAAAGGGCGCGUAGGCGGUUCUUUAAGUCAGGCGUGAAAUUCCUGGGCUUAACCUGGGGGCUGCGCUUGAGACUGUGGGACUUGAGGUCAGAAGAGGGUCGUGGAAUUCCCAGUGUAGAGGUGAAAUUCGUAGAUAUUGGGAAGAACACCGGUGGCGAAGGCGGCAUCCUGGACCAAUAUUGACGCUGAGGAGCGAAAGCCAGGGGAGCAAACGGG